Molecule: ribosomal RNA, 441 nt
Filed under: uncultured bacterium
Lineage: Bacteria
Description: partial 16S ribosomal RNA
Rfam family: Bacterial small subunit ribosomal RNA
Source: RNAcentral
CCUACGGGAGACGGCAGUGGGGAAUAUUGCACAAUGGGCGAAAGCCUGAUGCAGCAACGCCGCGUGAAGGAAGAAGGCCUUCGGGUUGUAAACUUCUGUUCUCGGGGAAGAAGAACUGACGGUACCCAUGGAAGAAGCCCCGGCUAACUACGUGCCAGCAGCCGCGGUAAUACGUAGGGGGCAAGCGUUAACCGGAAUUAUGGGGUGAAAAGGGUGCGUAGGUGGAAAACUAAGCUCAGGGUUAAAGUCGAGGGCUAAACCAUGGUUCGCCCUGGAAACUGGGUUGCUUGAGUACAGGAGAGGAAGGCGGAAUUCCUAGUGUAGCGGUGAAAUGCGUAGAUAUUAGGAGGAACACCAGUGGCGAAGGCGGCCUUCUGGACAGUAACUGACGCUGAGGUACGAAAGCGUGGGGAGCAAACAGGAUUAGAUACCCCUGUAGUC